UUCUUCCGUUUAAGAAACGUUUUGCAACCGAAUCGGCGUAUUGAAUUCGCACUAGGAUUACACUUCAGCCAUUCGACAAUUUUUUACGAUUUUCGCGGAAGUAUAGCGCCUGUGUUGUGGACAAAAUGAUCGGGGAUCUCUUGAUAUUCGGGACCUUACUCAUGAACACUGGUGCUGUGUAAACUUCAAACUCUCAUCAAGACAAGACAAUCAACACUGUUCUCUAUUACAGUAAGAAAAAGGAGUCACAAGGACAAUUUGGAGAUGAACCUCGUGGACCAACUACAGGUGUGUGAUGCAUUGUGGUGCAUUAAAAAACCUCACCUCAGGAAACUUCACAGAGUGACUAUUCAUGAAAAUGAAAGUAAGGAUACUCAAGAGGUGACAACAUCAGAGAGUUCCUCCAGAGUCUACGCUACUUCCGGAUUUUCAUUGCCUUAUGGAACAUAUUCAUGAUGUUUUGCAUGAUUCUGACCUUACUCAUGAACACUGGUGCUGUGUAAACUUCAAACUUAAGAAAAAGGAGUCACAAGGACAAUUUGGAGAUGAACCUCGUGGACCAACUACAGGUGACAACAUCAGAGAGUUCCUCCAGAGUCUACGCUACUUCCGGAUUUUCAUUGCCUUAUGGAACAUAUUCAUGAUGUUUUGCAUGAUUCUGACCUUACUCAUGAACACUGGUGCUGUGUAAACUUCAAACUUAAGAAAAAGGAGUCACAAGGACAAUUUGGAGAUGAACCUCGUGGACCAACUACAGGUGACAACAUCAGAGAGUUCCUCCAGAGUCUACGCUACUUCCGGAUUUUCAUUGCCUUAUGGAACAUAUUCAUGAUGUUUUGCAUGAUUCUGACCUUACUCAUGAACACUGGUGCUGUGUAAACUUCAAACUUAAGAAAAAGGAGUCACAAGGACAAUUUGGAGAUGAACCUCGUGGACCAACUACAGGUGACAACAUCAGAGAGUUCCUCCAGAGUCUACGCUACUUCCGGAUUUUCAUUGCCUUAUGGAACAUAUUCAUGAUGUUUUGCAUGAUUCUGACCUUACUCAUGAACACUGGUGCUGUGUAAACUUCAAACUUAAGAAAAAGGAGUCACAAGGACAAUUUGGAGAUGAACCUCGUGGACCAACUACAGGUGACAACAUCAGAGAGUUCCUCCAGAGUCUACGCUACUUCCGGAUUUUCAUUGCCUUAUGGAACAUAUUCAUGAUGUUUUGCAUGAUUCUGACCUUACUCAUGAACACUGGUGCUGUGUAAACUUCAAACUUAAGAAAAAGGAGUCACAAGGACAAUUUGGAGAUGAACCUCGUGGACCAACUACAGGUGACAACAUCAGAGAGUUCCUCCAGAGUCUACGCUACUUCCGGAUUUUCAUUGCCUUAUGGAACAUAUUCAUGAUGUUUUGCAUGAUUCUGACCUUACUCAUGAACACUGGUGCUGUGUAAACUUCAAACUUAAGAAAAAGGAGUCACAAGGACAAUUUGGAGAUGAACCUCGUGGACCAACUACAGGUGACAACAUCAGAGAGUUCCUCCAGAGUCUACGCUACUUCCGGAUUUUCAUUGCCUUAUGGAACAUAUUCAUGAUGUUUUGCAUGAUUCUGACCUUACUCAUGAACACUGGUGCUGUGUAAACUUCAAACUUAAGAAAAAGGAGUCACAAGGACAAUUUGGAGAUGAACCUCGUGGACCAACUACAGGUGACAACAUCAGAGAGUUCCUCCAGAGUCUACGCUACUUCCGGAUUUUCAUUGCCUUAUGGAACAUAUUCAUGAUGUUUUGCAUGAUUCUGACCUUACUCAUGAACACUGGUGCUGUGUAAACUUCAAACUUAAGAAAAAGGAGUCACAAGGACAAUUUGGAGAUGAACCUCGUGGACCAACUACAGGUGACAACAUCAGAGAGUUCCUCCAGAGUCUACGCUACUUCCGGAUUUUCAUUGCCUUAUGGAACAUAUUCAUGAUGUUUUGCAUGAUUCUGACCUUACUCAUGAACACUGGUGCUGUGUAAACUUCAAACUUAAGAAAAAGGAGUCACAAGGACAAUUUGGAGAUGAACCUCGUGGACCAACUACAGGUGACAACAUCAGAGAGUUCCUCCAGAGUCUACGCUACUUCCGGAUUUUCAUUGCCUUAUGGAACAUAUUCAUGAUGUUUUGCAUGAUUCUGACCUUACUCAUGAACACUGGUGCUGUGUAAACUUCAAACUUAAGAAAAAGGAGUCACAAGGACAAUUUGGAGAUGAACCUCGUGGACCAACUACAGGUGACAACAUCAGAGAGUUCCUCCAGAGUCUACGCUACUUCCGGAUUUUCAUUGCCUUAUGGAACAUAUUCAUGAUGUUUUGCAUGAUUCUAUUGUUUGGAUAGUGAUCAACUUCGUUUUUGGAUUGGGGGCCCCUGCACAAAAAAAAUAACUUUUUUGAGUUGAGAUUCAUGUCGGAUCCUGUGACCUGCGACCAUUAUGUGCAAUAUCGCAUUAUUUUUGCGCUAGUUAGUUGUACCUGCAUCAAAACUACAGUAUUUUAUCUUCAUAGCAUUUAGAAAUAGGGAGCCAAUUGGUUUUUCAGCCCUUUUAUUUCCAUGACUGACCUAAACUGCUUCUCAUGGUUCUCUCGUCACACUGCAGCGGAUAUAUGGUUAGCAAUAUAUUUGGAACAUCGAAUCGCAGUACAUAUUGUAUCGGCAUCUAAGUAUCGUGAUAAUAUCGUAUCAUGAGGUCCCUGGCAAUUCCCAGCCCUAUUGCUAACCUGUUAUCUUCAGUCCUCAUUUUCUUCUAAAACUUGUGAACAGAAUGAGAACCAUUUGACAUGUUUGAUGUUUGUCUUACUAAGGCCUUCUGAUGUUAAGAGCAUUCAGACUUAAUUGUAUCAUUGCUUUGUUGCAUACUUUUGUCUAUGAUCUAGUUUUGUAUAAUAAAUCUUUACUCUAAAAUGCA
Non-coding RNA from Oncorhynchus mykiss (rainbow trout), 2933 nucleotides. The record is from RefSeq and is a predicted model, not a curated record. NCBI's taxonomy places the organism in Eukaryota, Metazoa, Chordata, Actinopteri, Salmoniformes, Salmonidae.